CCCUUAGAUGUCCGGGGCCGCACGCGCGCUACACUGAAGGAAUCAGCGUGGCUUUCUCCCUGACCCGAAAGGGUUGGGAAACCCGUUGAAUCUCCUUCGUGAUAGGGAUUGGGGCUUGAAAUUGUUCCCCAUGAACGAGGAAUUCCCAGUAAGCGCGAGUCAUAAGCUCGCGUUGAUUACGUCCCUGCCCUUUGUACACACCGCCCGUCGCACCUACCGAUUGAGUGGUCCGGUGAAGACCUCGGACUGUGGCUGCGGUUGCUUGAUUGCGACUGUGUGCUGUGGGAAGUUGUCUAAAUCUUAUCACUUAGAGGAAGGUGAAGUCGUAACA
This 331-nucleotide ribosomal RNA is filed under the name uncultured eukaryote. RNAcentral describes it as "partial 18S ribosomal RNA". It matches the Rfam family "Eukaryotic small subunit ribosomal RNA", at positions 1470 to 1796 of the family's 1831-position model. The record is from RNAcentral.